CCGAGAAUAGCUCAGUUGGUAGAGCGGGAGACUGUAGUGUAUAAGUUAUCUCUAGGUCCCUGGUUCAAAUCCGGGUUCUCGGA
Dimargaris xerosporica is the source of this 83-nucleotide non-coding RNA. The record is from the annotation of a GenBank genome assembly. Lineage: Eukaryota; Fungi; Kickxellomycota; Dimargaritomycetes; Dimargaritales; Dimargaritaceae.